CUACGGGUCGCAGCAGUGGGGAAUAUUGGGCAAUGGGCGCAAGCCUGACCCAGCAACGCCGCGUGAGGGAAGAAGGUUUUCGGAUUGUAAACCUCUGUCCUUGGGGACGAAGAAGUGACGGUACCCAAGGAGGAAGCUCCGGCUAACUACGUGCCAGCAGCCGCGGUAAUACGUAGGGAGCAAGCGUUGUCCGGAAUUACUGGGCGUAAAGGGUGCGUAGGCGGCAUAUUAAGUCAGGUGUGAAAUACUCGGGCUCAACCCGAGGGGUGCAUUUGAAACUGAUAAGCUUGAGUGUGAGAGAGGAAAGUGGAAUUCCUAGUGUAGCGGUGGAAUGCGUAGAUAUUAGGAGGAACACCAGUGGCGAAGGCGACUUUCUGGCUCAUAACUGACGCUGAGGCACGAAAGCGUGGGGAGCAAACAGGAUUAGAUACCCUUGUAGUC
This 441-nucleotide ribosomal RNA is filed under the name uncultured bacterium. Its description in RNAcentral is "partial 16S ribosomal RNA". It matches the Rfam family "Bacterial small subunit ribosomal RNA", at positions 339 to 795 of the family's 1533-position model. The record is from RNAcentral.